RNAcentral lists this transfer RNA (73 nucleotides) under Perca fluviatilis (European perch). It matches the Rfam family "tRNA". From Rfam's summary of the family: Transfer RNA (tRNA) molecules are approximately 80 nucleotides in length. Their secondary structure includes four short double-helical elements and three loops (D, anti-codon, and T loops). Lineage: Eukaryota; Metazoa; Chordata; Actinopteri; Perciformes; Percidae. The record is from Rfam by way of RNAcentral.
GGGGAAUUAGCUCAAAUGGUAGAGCGCUCGCUUAGCAUCGCGAGGGUAGUGGGAUCGAUGCCCACAUUCUCCA